GUGAAAUGAUGAUGACGUUCAUCCAUUCUCCAAGCAUGCUGCCCUUUCUGUCCUCCUGGUGCUUUGAGACUCUUGUUCUGGGGGCUCUGAGCUAUGCAGCCACUACAUGACCUUCGGUCUUCCAGCAUUCUGUUGGGGACAAUGGGUGGGUGUGGGGCCUGUAAUCAGGAAUGGGACAGUGGCAGCCAAGUGGCGCCCCUUUUGUUUGGGGUUCCAUUGGGCUGAGACGAAGGCUGAUAGUCUGAUCAC
Small nucleolar RNA from Trichosurus vulpecula (common brushtail), 249 nucleotides. RefSeq annotates it as small nucleolar RNA SNORD17. The transcript has a single exon. The record is from RefSeq and is a predicted model, not a curated record. Lineage: Eukaryota; Metazoa; Chordata; Mammalia; Diprotodontia; Phalangeridae.